Leopardus geoffroyi (Geoffroy's cat) is the source of this 404-nucleotide long non-coding RNA. RefSeq lists it as uncharacterized. NCBI's taxonomy places the organism in Eukaryota, Metazoa, Chordata, Mammalia, Carnivora, Felidae. The transcript has 3 exons. The record is from RefSeq and is a predicted model, not a curated record.
GGGGCGCCCUGCCCGCCGAGGGGCCUCUCCGAGCCCGGGGGAGGGUCGCCGCGGGGACCUUAGGGGCGGGCCGCGUCCGGUCCUGCUGUCCGGAGCCCGCUGGCUCGCCUCCUCCCUAGGUCGUUCUUGUCGCAGGGAUAGUUCGCCGUGCGGGGCUUCGGGCAGGUGGACCCCGCCUCCCCCAGCCGCGCGCGGGUCUUGGUUCCCCCAUCUCAGAUCAGCACGGGGGAGACGGUAGUGAGAGAUCACGAAGGAACAGAACAGGAGAACAGGACUGACCCUCCUGUCUAUAUCAUCUGGAUUUAUUGGAAUAUGUUAUUGUAUGAUGUCCUGGUAGAGAGACUCUACUUAGAGCAAGCAUGAAACAGACUUCUGCAGAAUACAUUAAAACGUCGACGUGAACC